UACGUAGGUGGCAAGCGUUGUCCGGAAUUAUUGGGCGUAAAGGGCUCGCAGGCGGUUUCUUAAGUCUGAUGUGAAAGCCCACGGCUCAACCGUGGAGGGUCAUUGGAAACUGGGAGACUUGAGUGCAGAAGAGGAGAGUGGAAUUCCACGUGUAGCGGUGAAAUGCGUAGAGAUGUGGAGGAACACCAGUGGCGAAGGCGACUCUCUGGUCUGUAACUGACGCUGAGGGACGAAAGCGUGGGUAGCAAACCGG
Molecule: unclassified non-coding RNA, 253 nt
Filed under: uncultured Bacillaceae bacterium
Lineage: Bacteria; Bacillati; Bacillota; Bacilli; Caryophanales; Bacillaceae
Description: contains 16S-23S intergenic spacer region
Rfam family: Bacterial small subunit ribosomal RNA
Source: RNAcentral